GUAUUGCCCAGCAGGGAGAGCAGCAGCUUCCCGCUCCACCUCCAAAGCCUCAGUAGUAGACAUCCCUGGAUAGCCUCAAGGCUACACAGACCAGUGACUUUCUGCACGCUUUCCCCAGAAAGCGGUCCAGGAGCCCGUGACCCUGCAGCCAAGCCUGUGCGAUGAGGUCUCUCUAGGGUGUGGUGCUCCAAUGCUCCGACCCAGCAGAGGGCGGGGCGGGGCGGUUCUCUAGUCUUCUGGCUCUAAGCCGCGCCAGAUGCCACGCCACAGCUUUUCCUCGGCCACCUGUCCGCCAGCCGCCGUGCGAACCGGACUCGGCCCUCUUCCCGUCCUCGGUUCCCCUGACCCUGGUGACUGAAGCGAAGUUUCCCAAAUCAGCAGCUCUGGCCAUGACGGAGCCACGGUGGCAGCCUUCAAUUCGGAAACAGAAAGUCAGCGUUAACUGUGACCACAGGCUAACGCUACCCCAAAGGCACCAGCGACCAUGUCCCAAUCCUCACAUGAUGCGGGCAAGGAGGAUCAGGGAGAGCCGCGGAAAGACUUUACGGUGGAUGACUUAAGUCAAGGUAACUUUACCAAGAUCCACAGAAGCCACAUAUUUCAACAUAUCCGGGGAGACCAAGAAGCUGCAACGUAUAAAGGCUUUAGCCCCGUUGUGUUUGGUGUCCCAGCCUUUGGGAGGGAGCCUUCUGGUGGCCUGGGUGGCAGCACAACAGACCUCAUCCCGGUGCCCCACCUCCUCCUCUGUCCAGGUGUCUGUAACAACAGCAGCUCUACCUGUCAGGGUUCAAGAACUGCUGAAGAAGGAUACCCCAGAUGCAAGCAGUAUGCAAAAGCAAAGAGCGUUUCUUCAGCUGAAUUUCCUGCUUGCUGGGGUCUGUCUCCCCCGUUUGGGAAUGGAGACCCCUGGUGAAAUCAGGGGCUCAUCUUUUAUUGUCAGUUAGGGGAAUUCCAGGGAGGGGUUUGCGCCCUCUUACCUUGAUUGGUCAGCUCUAUCUCGGGGGUCUGACUGAUUCUAUAAUCAAGCUCUGAAGACUUCCCAGGGGUGGCUUGCUCAUUCUAGCUACCUAUUCUUACUUCAGGCCAGAUGAUGAGGUGUCCUCGGACUGGCUGCCCGCGGCUCUGGUUGGCUGACCACAGGUUCCUGGAUCCUGGCUCUCAUUUCUGGGAAACAGAAACUUAGGCCUAGUCUCCCAAACGGCCAGUUUGCAGCUGUCAUGGAGUCAGUCUGGCUCUCCUGACCUGGUGUUCCCAUUUCCCCUUCUGAUUUGCAACUGGAUCAAAUCAUUGAUUUGUCAGGGUUUUUUUUCCCUCCAAUCUUUUUCUUCCCACCUUGUCACUUGUCAGGGGCAGAAGUCGUUAUUAUUGAGAACAGUUACUGCCAAGCAAGUUUUCAUAUGGGAACAGUAAAAAGCCACAUCUGAAACCUGUCUAUACCUUAAUUUGAUGGCUAUUAGUAAAGCAAGCCUGUCUGCCGUUUUCGAAACAAGAAACCUAGCAGUUUAACCCGAUAAGUUAACCAAUGAACUAACGUCGUGGUGGAUUGUUUUGACAUAAGGAGCUAGUUGCCUGUAUGUCACUGCCCAGACAGUUGCUUGGGGCUCCUGCGUCUCUAUGGCACCGAGGGCAGAGGCAGCCUUUGGCCAUCAGCCCCAGAAGACGAAGAGGCUUUUCCUGCAGAGGAGGAACAUGGGAGACUGGCCUAUCCUUGUCUACAGCACCGUGUGGCGAUCAGUUCUGCCCUCCAUCCACAGCUCAGGCCAGGUCUUGGCAGCAGCAGGCAAGACAUCAGGACAGUUAUGCCCAGUGGUUAUCAUACCACCAUCCAGGUGGUGUCCUCUGCCAUUGUGCCCACCAAUUUUCAGAGACCUCGGUGAGUCGCCGGUGGGAUUUGGGAGUCUCUGUCCGUCACGGUAAGUUUAAACAUGUUCAAUGCUACAUUCCGUAGACCUCUAACAGGCUUGAUGGAUAGCCAGUAUUGACCUACCUCGUAGGUAUCUGAGCGAAACAAGUUGUCUGUUACCUUGCAAACAUAAAGCAGGAGACUAAAUAAAGCUUUAAUUUAUGAUGAACCUCA
This 2077-nucleotide long non-coding RNA is filed under the name Mus musculus (house mouse). RNAcentral's name for it is "RIKEN cDNA 4930405N21 gene". Lineage: Eukaryota; Metazoa; Chordata; Mammalia; Rodentia; Muridae. The record is from RNAcentral.